UCCUGGGAAACACAAGGGCAGUGUAGACGGAGGCGUGGCUGGGCAGAACACAGCAGAGGGCGCUGGGGAAGGGAAUGUCAGAUCUGUUGAGCGCCUUAAACCAGGUGCUUUGUUCGCCUUUUCUCAUGCAAAUUUCCCAGUCUUCCUUGGAGGAAGUUGUUAUUCCCACCAUUUUAUAAAUGAGUGAGCUGCAGCCCAGAGAGGGUUCUAUGGAGCAAAGGAUCAAUGUGUCAGAUGACACAGGACUUGAAAUUGCGCACAAAGAGGCGAGGGCUCCGCAUUAUGUUAGGUCAGAGAUGUGCUGCGUAGAAGGAGAAGCUGGAUCUUGUAAUCUCUUCAUACUCCGCAGAGUAGAAAACUGAGAUUCUUU
Non-coding RNA from Microcebus murinus (gray mouse lemur), 370 nucleotides. NCBI's taxonomy places the organism in Eukaryota, Metazoa, Chordata, Mammalia, Primates, Cheirogaleidae. The record is from RefSeq and is a predicted model, not a curated record.